CAGCACAAAAUUAUGUGCAUAAUGGGUUCUAAUUAUACACUUACUGGAUUAAUUGAUAAAAUAUUUCCCAAAUAUCCCAAAAUUUCACAGUUCAGAAGUUUGCCAUGUCUACUCUAGGUCCAGCAUUUCUUACUAGUGGUUAUAUUCUUCAGUCAUACUCAGCUCAUUAAAAGCAGGGUGAUUUCUUGGGCUUUGUGGGGAGGGAGCAGAAUGAAAGGUUUAAAAUGUGAGAGAAGGUUGAUACAAGGGAGGCUUUUUAUGUAUGAGGUGGAGGAGGUGCUUGGAAAGAUCUGAGAGCAGCCUCUAGGAGCUCAGAGUGACCUGUACCCAGUAGCCAACAAGAAGACAAGUAACCCGUGCUACCACCACAGGGAACAGGAUUCAGUCAGCAACCUUAGUAAAUGUUAAAGCAAUGUUUUCCUCACAGCUUUUAGAUAGGAGCCCAGCCUAGUUAACACAUCAGCCUCAAUCUGUGAGACACUGAGAAUCCAGCUGACCCUGGGGAGACUAUAAACCUAAAUAACUCAGAGACAAUACGUGGCUAUUGUUUUAAGCAGCUAAGUUGGUGGUAAUUUGCUAUGUAGCAAGAAAAAAAACUAAUAAAAGGGGUUAUCAAAAAUUAGUGAGCAUGUAUUAAAACUACCACUGUAGUUAAUUUUAGUGAAGAUACUUUGAG
RNAcentral lists this long non-coding RNA (676 nucleotides) under Homo sapiens (human). Its description in RNAcentral is "HSALNT0300857". Lineage: Eukaryota; Metazoa; Chordata; Mammalia; Primates; Hominidae. The record is from RNAcentral.